This 74-nucleotide transfer RNA is filed under the name Spirochaetales bacterium. RNAcentral's name for it is "tRNA-Asp". It matches the Rfam family "tRNA". Rfam says of the family: Transfer RNA (tRNA) molecules are approximately 80 nucleotides in length. Their secondary structure includes four short double-helical elements and three loops (D, anti-codon, and T loops). Further hydrogen bonds mediate the characteristic L-shaped molecular structure. tRNAs have two regions of fundamental functional importance: the anti-codon, which is responsible for specific mRNA codon recognition, and the 3' end, to which the tRNAs corresponding amino acid is attached (by aminoacyl-tRNA synthetases). tRNAs cope with the degeneracy of the genetic code in two manners: having more than one tRNA (with a specific anti-codon) for a particular amino acid; and 'wobble' base-pairing, i.e. permitting non-standard base-pairing at the 3rd anti-codon position. RNAcentral also lists the same sequence under 2 other names. The record is from RNAcentral. Lineage: Bacteria; Pseudomonadati; Spirochaetota; Spirochaetia; Spirochaetales.
GGGGGCGUGGCGAAGCUGGUUAUCGCGCCGGCCUGUCAAGCCGGAAGCCGCGGGUUCAAGUCCCGUCGCUCCCG